RNAcentral lists this long non-coding RNA (199 nucleotides) under Elaeis guineensis (African oil palm). RNAcentral's name for it is "long non-coding RNA (EGUI_LNC011978)". Lineage: Eukaryota; Viridiplantae; Streptophyta; Magnoliopsida; Arecales; Arecaceae. The record is from RNAcentral.
UGCCUUGGCUAAGGUCUUUCAAACUCAAUCUCAUAAAUCACAUAGGACUACUCCUUAACUACCAAGAUUGAUAGAUCUUAUUUAGGUAUAUACCCUAUUCCUAUAAUAAAUCUACUGCAAUCAACAUACACCUUAAGGCUCCAUAUGGUCAGAAGAUCAAGUUAUGGUGCGGUCAAACUACAGCAACCUCAUUAUGAAC